AGACUGAAAAGAGAAAACCAGUUGUAGUCCCUGCUAACAAGCGAACGCGUGUAAAUAAUGGUGGUCCGAUGCCUCCUGCUAAAGCUGGCCGUUUGACGAAUGCAUAUGUCUCAUCUUUCCCGGCACCUCCUCCAUUUGUAAGGUCUCCCUCCCACACCCAGUACCCUGCUCCAGUCCCAGGAUACCCAUCCCCACCUCCCAUGUAUGGAAGCAGGAGCCCACCCACCAACCCCUAUGCUUACUCACCGGAAGCAGUCCCUCCUCCCCUUGCUGGUUCAUACCCUGGAGCUCCCAUGAAUUAUCCCGCAUACGGGGGCUACGGUAAUGGUUUGGCACCAGCAUAUCAGCAGGCUUACUACCGAUAGACAACGAUGAC
RNAcentral lists this long non-coding RNA (376 nucleotides) under Gossypium barbadense (sea-island cotton). Its description in RNAcentral is "long non-coding RNA (GBAR_LNC008617)". The record is from RNAcentral. Lineage: Eukaryota; Viridiplantae; Streptophyta; Magnoliopsida; Malvales; Malvaceae.